AGACGGAGGGUGCAAGCGUUAUUCGGAAUCACUGGGCGUAAAGGACGCGUAGGCGGGUUGGCAAGUCAGAUGUGAAAUCCUACAGCUUAACUGUAGAACUGCAUUUGAAACUGCUAACCUAGAGUAUGGGAGGGGGAGAUGGAAUUAGUGGUGUAGGGGUAAAAUCCGUAGAUAUCACUAGGAAUACCGAAAGCGAAGGCGAUCUCCUGGAACAUAACUGACGCUAAGGCGUGAAAGCGUGGGGAGCAAACAGGAUUAGAAACCCUAGUAGUCC
Molecule: ribosomal RNA, 274 nt
Filed under: uncultured bacterium
Lineage: Bacteria
Description: partial 16S ribosomal RNA
Rfam family: Bacterial small subunit ribosomal RNA
Source: RNAcentral